RNAcentral lists this ribosomal RNA (806 nucleotides) under Elusimicrobiota bacterium. RNAcentral describes it as "bacterial SSU rRNA". It matches the Rfam family "Bacterial small subunit ribosomal RNA", at positions 1 to 808 of the family's 1533-position model. The record is from RNAcentral. Lineage: Bacteria; Pseudomonadati; Elusimicrobiota.
UUAAUGGAGAGUUUGAUCCUGGCUCAGAAUUAACGCUGGCAGAGUGCAUAACACAUGCAAGUCGAGCGAAGCUUGCAGCGUAUCGCAAGCUUAGCGGCAAACGAGUGAGUAACACGUAAGCAACCUGCCCUUGAAUGGCGAACAACCAGCCGAAAGGUUGGCUAAUACGCCGUAUAAUCCGAGAGGGGCAUCUUUCUCGGAUGAGAGGCCCGCAAGGGUCGUUCAAGGAGGGGCUUGCGGCCCAUCAGCUAGUUGGCGGUGUAAUGGACCACCAAGGCUAUGACGGGUACCCGGGCUGAAAGGCCGGACGGGCACGAUGGCACUGAGAUACGGGCCAUACUCCUACGGGAGGCAGCAGUGGGGAAUUUUGGACAAUGGGGGAAACCCUGAUCCAGCAACUCUGCGUGAGGGACGAAGUCUUUAGGGAUGUAAACCUCUUUUGUAUGGGACGAAAUCCCGCAAGGGUUUGACGGUACCAUGCGAAUAAGCCACGGCUAACUAUGUGCCAGCAGCCGCGGUAAGACAUAGGUGGCGAGCGUUAUUCGGAAUCACUAGGCGUAAAGCGAGUGUAGGCGGAUGCUUAAGUCCGGCGUGAAAUCUCCCGGCUCAACUGGGAGCGGCCGUCGGAAACUGUGCGUCUUGAGUUGGGUAGGGGGCAUCGGAAUUCCCGGUGUAGCGGUGAAAUGCGCAGAUAUCGGGAAGAACACCGGCGGCGAAGGCGGAUGCCUGGGCCUUAACUGACGCUAAGACUCGAAAGCUAGGGGAGCAAACAGGAUUAGAUACCCUGGUAGUCCUAGCUGUAAACG